Molecule: transfer RNA, 67 nt
Filed under: Megacampsomeris sp. 1 YJY-2023a
Lineage: Eukaryota; Metazoa; Arthropoda; Insecta; Hymenoptera; Scoliidae
Description: tRNA-Trp
Rfam family: tRNA
About the family: Transfer RNA (tRNA) molecules are approximately 80 nucleotides in length. Their secondary structure includes four short double-helical elements and three loops (D, anti-codon, and T loops). Further hydrogen bonds mediate the characteristic L-shaped molecular structure. tRNAs have two regions of fundamental functional importance: the anti-codon, which is responsible for specific mRNA codon recognition, and the 3' end, to which the tRNAs corresponding amino acid is attached (by aminoacyl-tRNA synthetases). tRNAs cope with the degeneracy of the genetic code in two manners: having more than one tRNA (with a specific anti-codon) for a particular amino acid; and 'wobble' base-pairing, i.e. permitting non-standard base-pairing at the 3rd anti-codon position.
Source: RNAcentral
AAAAUUUUAAGUUAAAUUUAAACUAUUAGCCUUCAAAGCUAAAAAUAUGAUUUAUUUAUAAAUUUUA